AGGGACCAGGAUGAUGGCUGACCAAAUCCAGCUGGUGAUGAAGCCGGAGGUGCACGGCGGCCAGAGGCGGUGGCAUGUCGUGCCGGCAGAAACUGCAGAGCAAGGUGGCCGGUACUCAGUGAUAAUCUCAUCACAGCAGCAGGUCGAAGUGCAGUGCGGACCUACACAUGAAAAAUCUAAAAAUCUGAAUUGGUUUCU
Oryza sativa (Asian cultivated rice) is the source of this 198-nucleotide small nucleolar RNA. It matches the Rfam family "Small nucleolar RNA Z242". From Rfam's summary of the family: Z242 is a member of the C/D class of snoRNA which contain the C (UGAUGA) and D (CUGA) box motifs. Most of the members of the box C/D family function in directing site-specific 2'-O-methylation of substrate RNAs. Lineage: Eukaryota; Viridiplantae; Streptophyta; Magnoliopsida; Poales; Poaceae. The record is from Rfam.